Molecule: transfer RNA, 77 nt
Filed under: delta proteobacterium ML8_D
Lineage: Bacteria; Deltaproteobacteria
Also listed under: 4 other names
Description: tRNA-Arg
Rfam family: tRNA
About the family: Transfer RNA (tRNA) molecules are approximately 80 nucleotides in length. Their secondary structure includes four short double-helical elements and three loops (D, anti-codon, and T loops). Further hydrogen bonds mediate the characteristic L-shaped molecular structure. tRNAs have two regions of fundamental functional importance: the anti-codon, which is responsible for specific mRNA codon recognition, and the 3' end, to which the tRNAs corresponding amino acid is attached (by aminoacyl-tRNA synthetases). tRNAs cope with the degeneracy of the genetic code in two manners: having more than one tRNA (with a specific anti-codon) for a particular amino acid; and 'wobble' base-pairing, i.e. permitting non-standard base-pairing at the 3rd anti-codon position.
Source: RNAcentral
GGGCGAUUAGCUCAGUUGGAUAGAGCGUUGGCCUCCGGAGCCAAAGGCCGGGCGUUCGAGUCGCCCAUCGCCCGCCA